UUUGUACUGCUGCAGGUUUCUGCUGCUGAGUUUUUCUGCUGCUGAGUUUUUCUACUGCUGAGUAUUUCUAGUGCUGACUGUUUCUAGUGCCAAAGGUUUUUACUGCUGAGUAUUUUUACUGCCAAAGGUUUCUACUGCUGAGUGUUUCUGCUGCUGAAGGUUUCUGUUGCUGAAAGUUUUGACUGCUGAGUGUUUCUACUGCCAAAGGUUUCUACUGCCAAGUGUUUCUACUGCUGAGUGUUUUUUUACUGCUGAUUAUUUUUACUGCCGAAGGUUUCUACUGCUGAGUGUUUCUAGUGUCGGGUGUUUCUGCUGCCAAAGGUUUCUACUGCUGAGGUUUUUUUUACUGCUGAGUAUUUUUACUGCCGAAGGUUUCUACUGCUGAGUGUUCCUGCUUCUGAAGAUUUCUACCGCUGACUGUUUCCACCGCUGAGUGUUUCUACUGCUGAAGGUUUCUACUGCCAAGUGUUUCUACCGCUGAGUGUUUCUGCUGCCAAGUGUUUCUACUUGCCGUUUCUGCUCCCGAAGGUUUCUACUGCUGAGUGUUUCUAUGCUGAGUGUUUCUAUUGCUGAGUGUUUUUUUACUGCUGAUUAUUUUUACUGCCGAAGGUUUCUACUGCUGAGUGUUUCUAGUGUCGGGUGUUUCUGCUGCCAAAGGUUUCUACUGCUGAGUGUUUCUACUGCUGAGUAUUUUUACUGCCGAGCGUUUCUGCUGCCGAAGGUUUCUACUGCUCAGUGUUUCUACUGCUGAGUGUUUCUG
Astatotilapia calliptera (eastern happy) is the source of this 760-nucleotide long non-coding RNA. The record is from Ensembl. Lineage: Eukaryota; Metazoa; Chordata; Actinopteri; Cichliformes; Cichlidae.